GUAGGUGAACCUGCGGAAGGAUCAUUACAGUAUGGAGAUCAAAGGGGGUUGGAUGCUGGCCCGCGAGGGCACGUGCGCGCCUCCGUUUUUCUUACACGCACACCCGUGCACCCAUUGGCGGCGGGGGACCGCCGCCUCUUUUAAUCUCAGCCUGUCAGAACGCAUGUGUCUAACGAUUCUAACGAAUACAACUUUCGACAACGGAUCUCUUGGCUUUU
RNAcentral lists this unclassified non-coding RNA (218 nucleotides) under rhizosphere metagenome. RNAcentral's name for it is "partial ribosomal RNA internal transcribed spacer region". The record is from RNAcentral.